This 832-nucleotide ribosomal RNA is filed under the name Micrococcus luteus. Its description in RNAcentral is "bacterial SSU rRNA". It matches the Rfam family "Bacterial small subunit ribosomal RNA", at positions 61 to 904 of the family's 1533-position model. Lineage: Bacteria; Bacillati; Actinomycetota; Actinomycetes; Micrococcales; Micrococcaceae. The record is from RNAcentral.
GUCGAACGAUGAAGCCCAGCUUGCUGGGUGGAUUAGUGGCGAACGGGUGAGUAACACGUGAGUAACCUGCCCUUAACUCUGGGAUAAGCCUGGGAAACUGGGUCUAAUACCGGAUAGGAGCGUCCACCGCAUGGUGGGUGUUGGAAAGAUUUAUCGGUUUUGGAUGGACUCGCGGCCUAUCAGCUUGUUGGUGAGGUAAUGGCUCACCAAGGCGACGACGGGUAGCCGGCCUGAGAGGGUGACCGGCCACACUGGGACUGAGACACGGCCCAGACUCCUACGGGAGGCAGCAGUGGGGAAUAUUGCACAAUGGGCGAAAGCCUGAUGCAGCGACGCCGCGUGAGGGAUGACGGCCUUCGGGUUGUAAACCUCUUUCAGUAGGGAAGAAGCGAAAGUGACGGUACCUGCAGAAGAAGCACCGGCUAACUACGUGCCAGCAGCCGCGGUAAUACGUAGGGUGCGAGCGUUAUCCGGAAUUAUUGGGCGUAAAGAGCUCGUAGGCGGUUUGUCGCGUCUGUCGUGAAAGUCCGGGGCUUAACCCCGGAUCUGCGGUGGGUACGGGCAGACUAGAGUGCAGUAGGGGAGACUGGAAUUCCUGGUGUAGCGGUGGAAUGCGCAGAUAUCAGGAGGAACACCGAUGGCGAAGGCAGGUCUCUGGGCUGUAACUGACGCUGAGGAGCGAAAGCAUGGGGAGCGAACAGGAUUAGAUACCCUGGUAGUCCAUGCCGUAAACGUUGGGCACUAGGUGUGGGGACCAUUCCACGGUUUCCGCGCCGCAGCUAACGCAUUAAGUGCCCCGCCUGGGGAGUACGGCCGCAAGGCUAAAACUCAA